GAGAAUAAUCGACAGUUUUUGAUCCGCUAAAUCUAAAAACCUGCAGUUAAAUUCUGUAGUAUUCUCGAU
This 69-nucleotide transfer RNA is filed under the name Ophiophthalmus serratus. RNAcentral describes it as "tRNA-Ser". The record is from RNAcentral. Lineage: Eukaryota; Metazoa; Echinodermata; Ophiuroidea; Amphilepidida; Ophiacanthidae.